AUAGAUAAAAUUGAUCAUAAACCCACAAUUCAUCGGUCUCAACAAACACACCGCAAAAGAAGAUUACAUCGAAUAGAUCUCCACGAGAGAGGGGGAGAACAUUGUAUUGAGAUCCAAAAAGAGAGAAGAAGCCAUCUAGCUAAUAACUAUGGACCCGAAGGUCUGAGGUAAACUACUCACACAUCAUUGGAGAGGCUAUGGUGUUGAUGUAGAAGCCCUCCGUGAUCGAUGCCCCCUCCGGCAGAGCUCCAGAACAGGCCCCAAGAUGGGAUCUCACGGGUACAGAAGGUUGCGGUGGUGGAAUUAGGUUUUUGGCUCCGUAUCUGGUAGUUUGGGGGUACGUAGGUAUAUAUAGGAGGAGGAAGUACGUCGGUGGAGCAACAUGGGGCCCACGAGGGUGGAGGGCGCGCCUGGGGGGGUAGGCGCGUCCCCCUACCUCGUGCCCUCCUGGUUGAUGUCUUGACGUAGGGUCCAAGUCCUCUGGAUCACGUUCAUUCCGAAAAUCACGUUCCCGAAGGUUUCAUUCCAUUUGGACUCCGUUUGAUAUUCUUUUUCUGUGAAACUCUGAAAUAGGCAAAAAACAACAAUUCUGGGCUGGGCCUCCGGUUAAUAGGUUAGUCCCAAAAAUAAUAUAAAAGUGUAUAAUAAAUCCCAUUAAUGUCCAAAACAGAAUAUAAUAUACAUGGAACAAUCAAAAAUUAUAGAUACGUUGGAGACGUAUCAAGCAUCCCCAAGCUUAAUUCCUGCUCGUCCUCGAGUAGGUAAAUGAUAAAAACAGAAUUUUUGAUGUGGAGUGCUACUUAGCGUAAUUUCAAUAUAAUUCUUCUUAUUCUGGCAUGAAUGUUCGGAUUUGAUAUGAUUCAAGAUAAAAGUUUAAUGUUGACAUAAAAACAAUAAUAUUUCAAGCAUACUAACUAAGCAAUUAUGUCUUAUCAAAAUAACAUAGCCAAAGCAAGUUAUCCCUACAAAAUCAUAUAGUCUGGCUAUGCUCCUUCUUCCCCACACAAAAUAUUCAUAUCAUGUAUGACCCCGGUUUUAGCCAAGCAAUUGGUCCAUACUGUUAACGCGCUUCAGCCUUUUCAACUCUUACGCAAUACAUGAGCGCAAGCCAUGGAUAUAGCACUAUGGUGCAAUAAGGUAUAAUGGUAGGGGUUAUGUGGGAAGACAAAAAAGGAGAAAGUCUCACAUCAACGAGGCUAAUCAACGAGCUAUGAAGAUGCCCAUCAAUUGAUGUUAAUGCGAGGAGUAGGGAUUGCCAUGCAACGGAUGCACUAGAGCUAUAAGUGUAUGAAAGCUCAAAAUGAAACUAAGUGGGUGUGCAUCCAACUUGCUUGUUCACGAAGACCUCGGGCAUUUGAGGAAGCCCAUCAUUGGAAUAUACAAGCCAAGUUCUAUAAUGAAAUUUCCCACUAGUAUAUGAAAGUGACAAAAUGAGAGACUCUCUAUUAUGAAGAUCACGGUGCUACUUUGAAGCACAAGUGUGGUAAAAGGAUAGUAACAUUGUCCCUUCUCUCUUUUUCUCUCAUUUUUUGGGCCUUUUCUCUCUCUCUUUUUUAUGGCCUCCUUUUUUUAUUUAGUCCAGAGUCUCAUCCCGACUUGUGCGGGAAUCAUAGUCUCCAUCAUCCUUUCCUCACUUGGGACAAUGCUCUAAUAAUGAUGAUCAUCACACUUUUAUUUACUUACAACUCAUGAAUUACAACUCAAUACUUAGAAAAAAAUAUGACUCUAUAUGAAUGCCUCCGGCGGUGUACCGGGAUAUGCAAUGAAUAAAGAGCGACAUGUAUGAAAUAAUUAUGAACGGUGGCUUUGCCACAAAUACAAUGUCAACUACAUGAUCAUGCAAAGCAAUAUGACAAUAAUGGAGCGUGUCAUGAUAAACGAAACGGUGGAAAGUUGCAUGGCAAUAUAUCUCGGAAUGGCUAUGGAAAUGCCAUGAUAGGUAGGUAUGGUGGCUGUUUUGAGGAAUAUAUAAGGAGGUUUAUGUGUGAUAGAGCGUAUCAUAUCACGGGGUUUGGAUGCACCGGCGAAGUUUGCACCAACUCUCAAGGUGAGAAAGGGCAGUGCACGGUACCGAAGAGGCUAGAAAAUUGCGGAAAGGUAAGUGUGCGUAUAAUCCAUGGACUCACAUUAGUCAUAAAGAACUCAUAUACUUAUUGCAAAAAUUUAUUAGCCUUCGAAGCAAAGUACUACUACGCAUGCUCCUAGGGGAAGGGUUGGUAGGAGUUAACCAUCGCGCGAUCCCGACCGCCACACAAAGGAAGAAAAUCAACAAAUACCUCAUGCUCCGACUUCGUUACAUAACGGUUCACCAUACGUGCAUGCUACGGGAAUCACAAACUCCAACACAUGUAUUUUUCAAUUCCACUAUUACUCAACUAGCACAACUAUGAUAUUACCACCUUUAUAUCUCAAAACAAUUAUCAAGCAUCAAAUUUCUCAUGAUAUUAAUUAAAGCAAAUUGCCAUGCUAUUUUAAGAUCCUCAAAAUAAUAUAAGUGAAGCAUGAGAGAUCAAUAGUUUCUAUAAAACAAAUCCACCAUCGUGCUCUAAAAGAUAUAAGUGAAGCCCUAGAGCAAAACUAUAUAGCUCAAAAAAUAUAAGUGAAGCACAUAGAGUAUUCUAAUAAAGUCCGAAUCAAGUGUGACCCUCUCAAAAGGUGUGUACAGAAAGGAUGAUUGUGGUAAACUAACAAAUAAAGACUCAAAUAAUACAAGACGCUCCAAGCAAAACACAUAUCAUGUGGUGAAUAAAAAUAUAGCUCCAAGUAAAGUUACCAAUGGAAGUAGACGAAAGAGGGGAUGCCUUCCGGGGCAUUCCCAAGCUUUGGCUUUUAGGUGUCCUUAGAUUAUCUUGGGGUGCCAUGGGAAUCCCCAAGCUUAGGCUCUUGCCACUCCUUGUUCCAUAAUCCAUCAAAUCUUUCACCCAAAACUUGAAAACUUCACAACACAAAACUCAGGAGAAAAUCUCGUGAGCUCCGUUAGCGAAAGAAAACAAAAGACCACUUCAAGGUACUGUAAUGAACUCAUUCUUUAUUUAUAUUGGUGUUAAACCUAUUGUAUUCCAACUUCUCUAUGGUUUAUAAACUAUUUUACUAGCCAUAGAUUCAUCAAAAUAAGCAAUCAACACACGAAAAACAGAAUCUGUCAAAAACAGAACAGUCUGUAGUAAUCUGUAACUAACGCAAACUUCUGGAACUCCAAAACAUCUACCAAAAUAGGAAGACCUAGACAAUUCGUUUAUUGAUCAGCAGCAAUUGGAAUCAAUAUUUUAUCACGUUCUGGUGACUUUUAACAAUUAUUUUCGUGAACAUAAAGUUUCUGGAAUUUACAGCAAGAUCAAAUAACUAUCAUCCAAGAAGAUCCUAUAGGUUAAACGUGGCACAAACACUAAUUAAUACAUAAAAAGACAUCUAACCAGAGGCUAGAUAAAAUAUUUAUUCCUAAACAGAAGCAAAAAAGAAAAAAAAACUAAAAAUAAAAUUGGGUUGCCUCCCAACAAGCGCUAUCGUUUAACACCCCUAGCUAGGCAUAAUAGCAAGGAUAGAUCUAGGUAUUGCCAUCUUUGGUAGGCAAUCCAUAAGUGGCUCUCAUAAUAGAUUCAUAAGGUAAUUUUAUUUUCUUUCUAGGGAAGUGUUCCAUGCCUUUCCUUAACGGAAAUUGGAAUCUAUUAUUUCCUUCCUUCAUAUCAAUAAUUGCACCAAUCGUUCUAAGGAAAGGUCUACCAAGAAUAAUAGGACAUGAAGGAUUGCAAUCUAUGUCAAGAACAAUAAAAUCUAUGGGCACAUAAUUCCUAUUUAAAACAAUAAGAACAUCAUUAAUUCUUCCCAUAGGUUUCUUAAUAGUGGAAUCCGCAAGGUGCAAGUUUGAAGAGCAAUCAUCAAAAUCACGGAAACCUAGCAAAUCGCACAAAGUCUUUGGAAUCGUGGAAACACUAGCACCCAAAUCACACAAAGCGUAGCAUUCAUGAUCUUGAAUUUUAAUUUUAAUAGUAGGUUCCCAUUCAUCAUAAAGUUUUCUAGGGAUAGGAACUUCCAACUCGAGUUUUUCUUCAUAAGAUUGCAUCAAAGCAUGAACGAUAUGUUUAGUAAAAGCUUUAUUUUGACUAUAAGCACGUGGAGAAUUUAGCACGGAUUGCAACAAGGAAAUACAAUCUAUCAAAGAGCAAUUAUCAUAAUUAAAUUCCUUGAAAUCCAAAAUAGUGGGUUCAUUAAUAUCUAGAGUUUUGACUUCUUCAUUCCCACUUUUAUCAAAUUUAGCAUCAAGAUCUAAAAACUCCGAAUUUUUGGAAUGCCUUAUAGGUAAAGGUGGAUCAUAUUCUGUCUCAUCAUUAUCAAGAUUCAUAUUGCAAAACAAAGAUUUAAUAGGAGACACAUCAAUAACUUUUAGAUCUUCAUCUUUGUUUUCAUAAAAAUUAGAAGAACAUGCUUUUACAAAGCAAUCUUUCUUAGCACGCAUCCUAGCGGUUCUUUCUUUGCACUCAUCAAUGGAAAUUCUCAUGGCCUUGAGAGACUCAUUGAUAUCAUGCUUAGGUGGAAUAGAUCUAAGUUUCAAAGAAUCCACAUCAAGAGAAAUUCUAUCAACGUUCCUAACCAAUUCAUCAAUCUUAGGCAACUUUUCUUCAAGCAAAGCAUUGAAAUUCUUUUGCGAAUUCAUAAAUUCUUUAACACUAGUCUCAAAUUCAGAAGGUAUCUUAUUAAAAUUUCCAUAAGGAUUGUUGUAGGAAUUACCAUAAUUAUUAGAGGAAUUACUAGGAUACGGCCUAGGAUUAAAGUUUCCUCUAUACGCGUUGUUACCAAAAUUAUUCCUACCAACAAAAUUCACAUCCAUAGAUUCAUUAUUAUUCUCAAUCAAAGUAGACAAAGGCAUAUCAUUAGGAUCAGAAGAAACACUUUUAGUAGCAAAUAAUUUCAUAAGUUCAUCCAUCUUUCCACUCAAAACAUUAAUUUCUUCUAUCGCAUGCACUUUUUUACCAGCAGAUCUUUCAGUGUGCCAUUGAGAAUAAUUAACCAUAAUAUUAUCUAGGAAUUUAGUAGCUUCUCCUAAAGUGAUUUCCAUAAAAGUGCCUCCCGUGGCCGAAUCUAGAAGAUUUCUAGAAGCAAAGUUCAACCCGGCAUAAUUUUUUUGUAUAAUCAUCCACAAAUUCAAACCAUGAGUAGGGCAAUUACGUAUCAUUAAUUUCAUCCCCUCCCAAGCUUGUGCAACAUGUUCAUGAUCAAGUUGCUUACAAUUCAUAAUAUCAUUUCUAAGAGAGAUGAUCUUAGCGGGAGGAAAAUACUUAGAGAUAAUAGCAUCUUUGCACUUAUUCCAAGAAUCAAUACUAUUUUUAGGCAAAGAUGGAAACCAAGCUUUAGCCGGUCUCUAAGCGAAAAAGGAAAUAGCUUCAAUUUAACCAUCUGGACAUUUUGUGCAGUUCCACUAAAAUCAAGCUGAGCAUCCCUAUGGAUAUCGUAUUUAUAUGCUGCAAGAAAACAAAGACACAGCAGCACACACAUGAAUAUUGGCCCCCGUGUCAACCCACCAAUCGGUGGACUAACAAACUGAAAGUAUGGUAAAUAGAUUACCAUACCCAAAUGCCCCAUCAUUGUUGCUUAGAAUGAGAUUGACAGAUUUGGAGUCCUGUCCUGGCUUCCUCUACUUGUUUGGGCACUUUUUGCCCAGUGCACUCCACGUGUUGUAGAGUUUCCUAUGCUCUCUGCAGACUAGUCAUGUCACCAGCGUCUACUAAUACUCUGUAAAGCUUCUCGAUCAUUCCUUGUGUAAUGUAUCGCAAACAGUGACUGCUACUUUCUGCAAAGGGGUAAGACCAACUGGACCCACUAAUGUAGCAGUUUGCCUUAGACACAUUGGCUCCUUUUGUGCAGUUCAACUAAAAUCAAAGUCGGAAUAAAACCGAGCUUUAAUUUUGAUAUCCCUGUAAGCAACAAAAGGUAUAAGGGAAACAAUUACUGACAAAUAACGGUUGAUGACUACUACCUCUUGAGCACUGCAUUGGUUUUCCCUUGAAGAGGAAACGGUGAUGCAGCAAAGCAGCGUAAGUAUUUCCCUCGGUUUUGAGAACCAAGGUAUCAAUCCAGUAGGAGACCACGCACGAGUCCCUCGCACCUGCACAAACAAAUAAAUCCUCGCAACCAACGCGAUAAGGGGUUGCCAAUUCCUACACGGUCACUUACGAGAGUGAGAUCUAAUAGAUAUGAUAAGAUAAUAUUUUUGGUAUUUUUAUGAUAAAGAUGCAAAGUAAAAUAAAAGGCAAUAAAAAUAACUAAGUGUUGGAAGAUUAAUAUGAUAGGAAAUGGACCCGGGGGCCAUAGGUUUCACUAGUGGCUUCUCUCAAGAGCAUAAGUAUUAUGGUGGGUGAACAAAUUACUUUUGAGCAAUUGAUAGAAUUGAGCAUAGUUAUGAGAAUAUCUAGGUAUGAUCAUGUAUAUAGGCAUCACGUCCGAGACAAGUAGACCGACUCCUGCCUGCAUCUACUACUAUUACUCCACAUAUCGACCGCUAUCCAGCAUGCAUCUAGAGUAUUAAGUUCAAAAGAACAGAGUAACGCUUUAAGCAAGAUGACAUGAUGUAGAGGGAUAAACUCAUGCAAUAUGAUAUAAACCCCAUCUUGUUAUCCUCGAUGGCAACAAUACAAUACGUGCCUUGCUGCCCCUGCUGUCACUGGGAAAGGACGCCGCAAGAUUGAACCCAAAGCUAAGCACUUCUCCCAUUGCAAGAAAGAUCAAUCUAGUAGGCCAAACCAAACUGAUAAUUCGAAGAGACUUGCAAAGAUAACCAAUCAUACAUAAAAGAAUUCAGAGGAGAUUCAAAUAUUGUUCAUAGAUAAAUUUGAUCAUAAACCCACAAUUCAUCGGUCUCAACAAACACACCGCAAAAGAAGAUUACAUCGAAUAGAUCUCCACGAGAGAGGGGAAGAACAUUAUAUUGAGAUCCAAAAAGAGAGAAGAAGCCAUCUAGCUAAUAACUAUGGACCCGAAGGUCUGAGCUAAACUACUCACACAUCAUCGGAGAGGCUAUGGUGUUGAUGUAGAAGCCCUCCAUGAUCGAUGCCCCCUCCGGCGGAGCUCCAGAACAGGCCCCAAGAUGGGAUCUCACGGGUACAGAAGGUUGCGGUGGUGGAAUUAGGUUUUUGGCUCCGUAUUUGGUAGUUUGGGG
Molecule: long non-coding RNA, 7150 nt
Filed under: Triticum aestivum (bread wheat)
Lineage: Eukaryota; Viridiplantae; Streptophyta; Magnoliopsida; Poales; Poaceae
Description: long non-coding RNA (TAES_LNC004241)
Source: RNAcentral